GAAGCCGGGUCAGCGGGCUCCAGGGAGGGCUGACCAGACAGCCCCAGCAACUGCCAUUUCUGGGGUACGUGCUGGGCCUGUGCAGGAGGCAGGAGCAGAGGGUGAAGAGGAUUUGCAGGGCUGCUGCUGGGGGGCUGGGUGGGGGCCGUGGCCCAGGAGAGCCCCGAGGGUAAAGCCAAAGUGCUCAGCCCAUGAGCCCCCCUUACCAACCUACCCCCAGCUUUUGCUGAAAAGCCACAUGGGAAUGGGGAGAGGAGGGUCCAGCACAGUUCAGGAGGUUCAUGGUGCUUGGAUUCCAGGAAUCUGCUGAGCCGAGUCUGAAGGUGAAUUGUGUUGACCUGAGCAGCCCGUGCUCGGUCCUCCCAUCCCCCUGGACCCAGGGAAGAGCUCAGCCCCUGCCCUGGAAGUGGCCCUGGACGGGAGGGCCGGCUGGCUGGAGGGGAGCCCGAUCCAAGGAGGCAGUGGCUGAAAGUGGGUGUUACACCCUUCCUUAAUGAAUAACAGGGACCCUGAGCGAUGGCCACACUCCGCGUUUCCCUGGGAGUGCAGCCAUGAGUUAGGAGCCGACAGACAGCAGGGAACCGCGACCUCGACCAGGAGAAGAAACAGGCGAUAGAAAUAGACCCACACGUGACCAGACCGAGAUCAUCCUACAGGGACCUUAAAAUGACUCCUACAAACACACUGAACUCUUUACUGUACCCCCCAAAUGACACUGUGGAUAACAGUUGGAGGAAUUUCAUGAAAAAAAUCAAACCUCUAAAUCUCUUCUCUGCGGAAGAGUGUGGCACAGGGAAGCAGCUCACAUGGUGAUCAGGAAGCAGAGACAGA
This 831-nucleotide long non-coding RNA is filed under the name Marmota monax (woodchuck). The record is from RNAcentral. Lineage: Eukaryota; Metazoa; Chordata; Mammalia; Rodentia; Sciuridae.